CUUGCCUUAUAGAGGCAUGGCAGAUGUUGCUGUGUCACAUAUGUGUCAGUAGAUGGCAGAGAAGAGAGACACUCUUUGCUCAGUAUUUUGACCUGUGAACAUCUAAAUGAUUACUACUCUAACAUU
Molecule: small nucleolar RNA, 126 nt
Organism: Mus caroli (Ryukyu mouse)
Lineage: Eukaryota; Metazoa; Chordata; Mammalia; Rodentia; Muridae
Product: small nucleolar RNA SNORA17
Source: RefSeq, a predicted model, not a curated record